GACGAACGCUGGCGGCGUGCUUAACACAUGCAAGUCGAACGGAAAGGCCCUGCUUUUGUGGGGUGCUCGAGUGGCGAACGGGUGAGUAACACGUGAGUAACCUGCCCUUGACUUUGGGAUAACUUCAGGAAACUGGGGCUAAUACCGGAUAGGAGCUCCUGCUGCAUGGUGGGGGUUGGAAAGUUUCGGCGGUUGGGGAUGGACUCGCGGCUUAUCAGCUUGUUGGUGGGGUAGUGGCUUACCAAGGCUUUGACGGGUAGCCGGCCUGAGGGGGUGACCGGCCACAUGGGGACUGAGAUACGGCCAAGCCCCCUACGGGAGGCAGAGGGGGGAAUUAUGGCAGAGUGGGGGGGGGCCUGAGGCGGCACCGCCGGGGGGGGAAGGGCGGCUUGGGGUUGAAAAACCGUUUCCGCUUGGGAGGAAGGGGGAGGGAGGGUAGUGGAAAAGAAAGCCCCGGCUAACUACGUG
RNAcentral lists this ribosomal RNA (468 nucleotides) under uncultured bacterium. RNAcentral's name for it is "partial 16S ribosomal RNA". It matches the Rfam family "Bacterial small subunit ribosomal RNA", at positions 28 to 507 of the family's 1533-position model. The record is from RNAcentral.